CCUACGGGGGGCAGCAGUGGGGGAUAUUGCACAAUGGGGGGAACCCUGAUGCAGCGACGCCGCGUGGGUGAAGGAGUGCUUCGGCAUGUAAAGCCCUAUCAGCAGGGAAGAAGAAAGACGGUACCUGACUAAGAAGCCCCGGCUAACUACGUGCCAGCAGCCGCGGUAAUACGUAGGGGGCAAGCGUUAUCCGGAUUUAUUGGGUUUAAAGGGUUCGCUGGCGGAAGAUCAAGUCAGCGUUAAAAUUGAGAGGCUCAACCUAUUCGAGCCGUUGAAACUGGUUUUCUUGAGUGAGCGAGAGGUAUGCGGAAUGCGUGGUGUAGCGGUGAAAUGCAUAGAUAUCACGCAGAACUCCGAUUGCGAAGGCAGCAUACCGGCGCUCAACUGACGCUCAUGCACGAAAGUGUGGGUAUCGAACAGGAUUAGAUACCCCAGUAGUC
This 440-nucleotide ribosomal RNA is filed under the name uncultured bacterium. RNAcentral's name for it is "partial 16S ribosomal RNA". It matches the Rfam family "Bacterial small subunit ribosomal RNA", at positions 338 to 795 of the family's 1533-position model. The record is from RNAcentral.